GACGAACGCUGGCGGCGUGCUUAACACAUGCAAGUCGAACGGAAAGGCCCUGCUUUUGUGGGGUGCUCGAGUGGCGAACGGGUGAGUAACACGUUAGUAACCUGCCCUUGACGUUGGGAUAACUUCAGGAAACUGGGGCUAAUACCGGAUAGGAGCUCCUGCUGCAUGGUGGGGGUUGGAAAGUUUCGGCGGUUGGGGAUGGACUCGCGGCUUAUCAGCUUGUUGGUGGGGUAGUGGCUUACCAAGGCUUUGACGGGUAGCCGGCCUGAGAGGGUGACCGGCCACAUUGGGACUGAGAUACGGCACAGACUCCUACGGGAGGCAGCAGUGGGGAAUAUUGCACAAUGGGCGGAAGCCUGCUGCAGCAACGCCGCGUGCGGGAUGACGGCCUUCGGGUUGUAAACCGCUUUCGCCUGUGACGAAGCGUGAGUGACGGUAAUGGGUAAAGAAGCACCGGCUAACUACGUG
RNAcentral lists this ribosomal RNA (468 nucleotides) under uncultured bacterium. RNAcentral's name for it is "partial 16S ribosomal RNA". It matches the Rfam family "Bacterial small subunit ribosomal RNA", at positions 28 to 507 of the family's 1533-position model. The record is from RNAcentral.